GGAGGGGUGUCCGAGCGGUUGAAGGAGGCAGUCUUGAAAACUGUUGGGUUCAUUUACGGGCCCCGUGGGUUCGAAUCCCACUCCCUCCG
This is a non-coding RNA of Desulfotomaculum sp. 46_296, 89 nucleotides long. Lineage: Bacteria; Bacillati; Bacillota; Clostridia; Eubacteriales; Desulfotomaculaceae. The record is from Rfam.